GCCCUAGUAGCUUAAACCUCAAAGCAUUGGUCUUGUAAACCAAAAAUGAUAUCCACUUCCUAGGACAA
Molecule: transfer RNA, 68 nt
Filed under: Algyroides nigropunctatus
Lineage: Eukaryota; Metazoa; Chordata; Lepidosauria; Squamata; Lacertidae
Description: tRNA-Thr
Rfam family: tRNA
About the family: Transfer RNA (tRNA) molecules are approximately 80 nucleotides in length. Their secondary structure includes four short double-helical elements and three loops (D, anti-codon, and T loops). Further hydrogen bonds mediate the characteristic L-shaped molecular structure. tRNAs have two regions of fundamental functional importance: the anti-codon, which is responsible for specific mRNA codon recognition, and the 3' end, to which the tRNAs corresponding amino acid is attached (by aminoacyl-tRNA synthetases). tRNAs cope with the degeneracy of the genetic code in two manners: having more than one tRNA (with a specific anti-codon) for a particular amino acid; and 'wobble' base-pairing, i.e. permitting non-standard base-pairing at the 3rd anti-codon position.
Source: RNAcentral